Molecule: ribosomal RNA, 274 nt
Filed under: Candidatus Altimarinota bacterium
Lineage: Bacteria; Candidatus Altimarinota
Description: partial 16S ribosomal RNA
Rfam family: Bacterial small subunit ribosomal RNA
Source: RNAcentral
AAUGCCGCAAGGUGGAGCCAAUCUUUAAAACCGGUCUAAGUUCGAAUUGAGGGCUGCAACCUGCCCUCAUGAAGUUGGAAUCGCUAGUAAACGCGCAUCAGCAAUGGCGCGUUGAAUAUGUUCCUGGGUCUUGUACUCACCGCCCGUCAUGGCAUGGGAGGAAGUAAUAUUGGAAGCCCCUCUAGUAAUAUGAGGGUCCAUAGUAGGACUUCUGACUGGGCUAAAGUCGUAACAAGGUAUCCGUAGGAGAACCUGCGGAUGGAUUACCUCCUUU